RNAcentral lists this ribosomal RNA (908 nucleotides) under Sanguibacter sp. Its description in RNAcentral is "bacterial SSU rRNA". It matches the Rfam family "Bacterial small subunit ribosomal RNA", at positions 76 to 995 of the family's 1533-position model. Lineage: Bacteria; Bacillati; Actinomycetota; Actinomycetes; Micrococcales; Sanguibacteraceae. RNAcentral also lists the same sequence under 1 other name. The record is from RNAcentral.
GAGCUUGCUCUUCCUGAUCAGCGGCGAACGGGUGAGUAACACGUGAGUAACCUGCCCUUGACUCUGGGAUAACUCCGGGAAACCGGGGCUAAUACUGGAUACGAAGCGCCUCGGCAUCGGGUGCGCUUGGAAAGUUUUUCGGUCAAGGAUGGACUCGCGGCCUAUCAGCUUGUUGGCGGGGUAACGGCCCACCAAGGCGUCGACGGGUAGCCGGCCUGAGAGGGCGACCGGCCACACUGGGACUGAGACACGGCCCAGACUCCUACGGGAGGCAGCAGUGGGGAAUAUUGCACAAUGGGCGAAAGCCUGAUGCAGCGACGCCGCGUGAGGGAUGAAGGCCUUCGGGUUGUAAACCUCUUUCAGUAGGGAAGAAGCGAAAGUGACGGUACCUGCAGAAGAAGCGCCGGCUAACUACGUGCCAGCAGCCGCGGUAAUACGUAGGGCGCAAGCGUUGUCCGGAAUUAUUGGGCGUAAAGAGCUCGUAGGCGGUUUGUCGCGUCUGGUGUGAAAACUCAAGGCUCAACCUUGAGCUUGCAUCGGGUACGGGCAGACUAGAGUGCGGUAGGGGUGACUGGAAUUCCUGGUGUAGCGGUGGAAUGCGCAGAUAUCAGGAGGAACACCGAUGGCGAAGGCAGGUCACUGGGCCGCAACUGACGCUGAGGAGCGAAAGCAUGGGGAGCGAACAGGAUUAGAUACCCUGGUAGUCCAUGCCGUAAACGUUGGGCACUAGGUGUGGGGCUCAUUCCACGAGUUCCGUGCCGCAGCAAACGCAUUAAGUGCCCCGCCUGGGGAGUACGGCCGCAAGGCUAAAACUCAAAGGAAUUGACGGGGGCCCGCACAAGCGGCGGAGCAUGCGGAUUAAUUCGAUGCAACGCGAAGAACCUUACCAAGGCUUGACAUACACCGGG